Alligator sinensis (Chinese alligator) is the source of this 2669-nucleotide long non-coding RNA. RefSeq lists it as uncharacterized. The record is from RefSeq and is a predicted model, not a curated record. The transcript is spliced from 8 exons. NCBI's taxonomy places the organism in Eukaryota, Metazoa, Chordata, Crocodylia, Alligatoridae.
CAGAGGCUGGAAGUGGAAGCUCCAAAGCAAAACAAGAAAGGAUCGCCUUGGUGUGUUUUCCGUCCUGGAAACUUUCUGGAACUGUUACCUGGUGGAAAGAAACAUCUUCUGGUCACUGCUUCUGUUUCCAAGUCAAGUUACCAGCUUUAGACUGCAGCCUCAUCACAAACAUUGUUUCACAAACAAUUUUCUCAAUCAUUUUGGGCACUUAGAUGGGACCAUAACAUCUGAAGCUACAUCCUAGGAUUUGAUAUUCCUUUUGGAGUUCUCUGCAUCCAGUCUGAAUCCCGGCUGCAAUAGAGAAAAGUGAAGAUGUCUUCCUCAAAGGCCCAACUCCAGAUCAAUUCAUCACAACUAUUCCCAGCAGGCCAGACUCAGACCCCACUUUGACCUGUUACGGUACCAACCCCGAGACAAGGAAAACAAAAUCCACAAGGACAAAAGCCUUGCUUCCGGCAGUCCCUUCACAGCAUCUGACGAGGCUACUUGGAGCCAUUAGAAAACCAAAGCCAGGAACAAAAUUACCCACUACAUGAGAUGGAGGAGCAAUGAUCGGCUGUGGCUUCAGAAGCUGUGCAUGAAGAAUUUUGCACUUGCAGUUAUUUGGAAGUGUCUUGGCUACAUGUUUUCAUGCACACAUCAUGAGGUUGGUAAUCUAGUCACCUGGUGCCACAAUUUCCCAUUGUUCCUAUGAAGAAUUCUUUUGAGCUAAUGGUGUUGUCAUCAUCCUCUUUGUCCACACUUUGCACACUUUCCUGGCAUGAGCGAAGGAAACCAAGCUUGUGGUUUAGAGACUGAAAACGUUAUGUCUUCAUAGGUUGGAGACACCUACCAAGCCAUCUCUGCCUGCAGGAGCCUAUGUAUUACAUAAUAUAGGCAAGAGUCUAUACUAAUCCUGAAAUGUUCAUGAAGUAAAGAAUGCUGAGACAUUUACAGCUGCCUGGCACUGAUGCUGACAAAAGAAAUGGAAAUCAGUGUAUCUGCCAGGCUUGUCAACACCUUUGAAAUCUGCCGCCGAGGCUGGUGCCCUGGAGAAUUAGUUGGAAAGGGUGAAAGAACCACACUGACAGAGACAAAGUCCAGCCCGCUGUCCCCAUUUCUUCCUUUGUCUUUGUUUCUUUUCCUCCUUCAUAUUUGCCUUGCUCUCUGCUGUUUUGAUCCCAACAUUAAUGUUGUAAUAUUGGUAAAUGCCUUAAUUAGAAGAUUUAUUAGCUUGUGCUUUCAAUCGUUUACUGAACAAAAGUAAUAUCAAAAUAAAAGCUAUUAUACAACCCUUUCUUUGGGUUCAAGCCGCCUCCUUUGAUUUUCAUUGUUAAACCCCCGUUGGCUUUAAUAAGGCCCUUCAUAGCUAACUUACAUACUUGCCAAAUUGGCUGCUUCAACUUAGUCACUUAAAGGUGCCUAAACAAAAGCCCAAGUUUUCAGAGAUGUGGGACAUCUUCAGUGCCUGUUAGCGUAACUGGAUAAAAUCAAAUACAUAUGCCUAACAGGGUAACUAAACACUGAAAAUGUUAGCCCUAGCUUACAACCACAGCAUAAUCUAUGUAGGUUGGCACCACACAGUUCUGGAUAUGACUUGCCAAUAUUGUGCUUUGUCCUGUGAUGGGACACCUUUGACCUUUGAUGGGAACCCACCUUAAAUCAGAAACACACAAAAAUUAAUUGAAGUAAGUAGUAGACAAAACAAAACAAAUCAAAAAACAAAGCUAGGAUGAGUUUGACAACUGUAAUUAAUGUUUAUCCAGAGCUUUGCUCCUGAUGAUAAUAUACACAGCAGCCAAUCAUGUAUUUUCAGGAUAUUUCUAAUAUUGCUGACUACUAAUAUUUCAGAAAUAUAAAACCAUUUCAGCUGUCAUCAGACCUCAAACAGCACUAUACCAGGGCAGUCCUUUGCACAACUUCCAGCCCUGUUCCAAGAACUGGGAGUGGAAAGUGUUUAAUGCACUAAGUUAUUAAACACCAAGCUAUAAACAAGCGCUUCAAUAUUUGAAGGAUCAUGACCUAUUACAUAAAAUCAUAAAAUGUAACUUGGUUUUCAAGUCACAUUAAUGUAAAAUUAUCCAAGGUUAUUUUAGAAUUUACAGAGCUACAGUUGGCCCUUUACAUAGGCAGGGAGAGUGUUGAUUAUGUAUUUAGCUUAAAGAUGGGGGGCAGAUUCAAAUUUAGUUACAUCACCAUAAAGAAAAAAAUCCCUUUAUUCUCCAUGUUCUAAAUGAUUAUCAUCCUGAAAUUUCCAUGCUGUAAAUAAAUAGAAUACAACAUUGUUGAGUGAUAAUUACCCGUCUUUGUAACACUUACAGGUGAAAAAUUCUAUCUGAACUGAGCGAUAUUACAUUGUACAGGCAUUUGAUGGACCUGGGGAAAGAUGCCCAACUUCAGUUCAUGGCUUUAAAAAUGUUCCACAUGAAUCAUGAUUUUGAGCAGGAUUUCACUUUACUGCAUUUUGUUGCAUCUAACAUGCCCCAGACUAUAAUACCACCUUGUUUUUGAAAUCCAGAAUGAAGAAAAAAAGAUAUUUCUGUGCAGCGAGUAAUUGAGCAGCAGCAGCUAUGGAGCAGUCUGCUUGUUGUUCUGCUCCCUGUGAGUUAAGUGCAGAUUUUACUUUUACUUUUGCCCAUAACCAACAGAAACAGAUACCAUAUUUCUCACAUGUUGCGUGCACUACAAUU